UGUGUGUGUCUUAGUAGAGAGCAAGAUGG
RNAcentral lists this non-coding RNA (29 nucleotides) under Mus musculus (house mouse). Lineage: Eukaryota; Metazoa; Chordata; Mammalia; Rodentia; Muridae. The record is from RNAcentral.